UCUUUGCCAACUGCGCGUCUUUCUCCCGUGUUCUUCUCAAUCGGGAAGGAAGCACUGAAGUUUUUCUCAUUGGGCCACGUGCCCCCCCAUCUGCCCCCACCACAGGAGUGCACCAUCACCACAAGCGCUCGCAUUCCCUGCAAACGUCAUAGACGCAUAAAUACACAGAUGCGCACGCAAGAGCGCUCCUCACGCGAGCACAUAAAAGGUUUUUCAGGUAGCGCCGAUCCACCGUCGAGAAGGUUCGCACCAACGCAUCAAGAAGCGACUGAAAAGGAGUAGCAGCGUACCCAAAGAGGACAGCGCUCUCUGUGAAGUCGCGUGCUAUGCCGUUUCGCUUUCGUCUUCGCGACCCACCUAGCGAUGUCGCCUUCCUCUCCCUCGUCGACGGCGAGACUCUGUACAACGCCGACGGUGCUGCCACGCGGGAUGUGAAGGAGGCGACAAUUCGCCAGAUGGGAUGGCACCGCGUUGAGUUGCCGCAGGAUUGGUUUCUCUCACGCCACGCACUCGACACCUCCAGACAGCUCGUCCAGGGGAUGCAAUGCACCAUGCAGUACCUGAAGUACUGCUGCAAAAACGAAGAGAGGCGCGCGCAAAAGGCGACGGCGCAGCUUCGGCGUUGCGAGGAGGAGCUCAUAGAGCUGCGCGAGUGUGUGGCAGUGUAUAAGCAGCAGCUGCGUGAGCUCCGACAGGAGCGGCAGCGUGCGAGGUCAACUCCAUCGCGCGCGCCUCUGACCAGAGAGGGACAGGCGAGCCAUUCACGGGGAGCUGUGGACACCGUGCUUCAGCUAGCCUGCAGUUUCUGCGGAAAUGUGUACCCAAGUCGGCACGCAGUCGAAUCGCACAUACGAAAGCGGCACAAGCGGUUAGAAGGAUGCGCUGUCAUGGCAGCCGGCUCCGCUGCUGUCUCUCUGAAGCAGUUCGAAGCCGCAACCCAAGCUCCCACUUCUUCGGCGCAGGCGCCGCCUGGUGGCCUUUUCGUGGAUCAUGUGCCCACAGUGCUGCAGGAGACUGCUGACAAAUGUGGCGAUCGCGGCUUGCGAAAGGAGAUCAGCGAACUGCGGCUGGCGGUGGCAAAACUCAUGGAGCAGCAAGCAGCUCUGCAGCGUGGCAUGCCACCGUCCUACGUGGCCGCGGCACCGAAGCAGUCAGCGGGGGAGGCAGUCACGGCAGGAGAGGCGGUGGCAAGCAGCGGCCCCCUUUCCGGCCUGCAACAGCGCGGUAGUAGAUUGGACGAAGAGGACAUUCUGCUUCGUAUUCACCGAGAGCUGUUGCGCACCGGCGCAGAACUUCAGCAGUUGCAGAGCGCCGUCGGCAGGGAGAGUGAACAAGGUAGGCGGAGCGCUGCUGACGAUCGCGGCUCCUGCAACUUGAGAAACGACCUGCCACGAAAGCAGGCGCAACAGCAGCAUCGUGAUCCCUUGGCGGCGCCACGAAGCACGCGAGCUGCCCUCACGCUUGAUCCGCAGAGCGUUCUGCACGGCCCUCCACGCACCGAAGGCAGUGACGGCGGAGAGGCGGCACGGCGACGAGGGAGCGCAGGUGAAAGUCUUGUCGUUGUGUCCCCCAUCACGCCCCCAGCAGCGGCAAGGGCACGGACGCAGCACGCACUCGCCAAUCGGGAGGACAUAACUGCUGCACUCAAGCAGAAAGACGUGGAAGAGUUGCCGCUCAUGGCGUCAGAAAGUCCGUGCGGCAUCCUCAGCGGCCCGGGCGCCUCUCUAGAAACUAAGCCACCAGCCGGUGCCAUGAGCACGAUGUCGCCUUUCCCCUCGUCCGCACUGGGCCUUCCCUUUGGUGGGAACAGCGUCGUCGAUGCCGCUGGUGCAGCCCGCAUCACGGGUGAUCGCAGCCCCGACGGCCUCGGUGCUACAACUCGAGGGGGCGACGGCGAGCAGACGGCCUCGCGGGAGCCGGGAGCCACGCAACUGGUGCUGCCGAGUUCUGCCUCCCAGAGCUACUUACCCUGGAUGAGGCCCGAGUCGGCGACGGCGCGCUUUGGCAGAGCAGAUCCUGCGUCGGCGAAUCGCUACGGCUCUGCACCGAUUGACGAGGCGACGUCAUGGACGAGGGGACUCCUCCUUCCAGCUGCGGAGAAGAAGGUGCCGGCGCAGCUCAACCUGCUUCCGGCUUUUACAAGAAGAGACGCGACGCCAACGCCUAGCCUCGCAGCAGCCGAGGUGAUGACUAACUCGAAGAGGGAACUUAUCCCCGCCAUGUCAACCGGUGCGCCGCGCCACCGUAGUUUCUUGGAGAGUAGCGAGGCCGCAUUGCCGGGGGAGGCGUGCCGGCGGUCGAGCGGCGCCACGCCAGGUGAGCAGGUUGGGGCAAGUGCGGUGCACAUGGUGUCGAACCAGCACCAAGUGGCACGUGAUGAGGAGCGGGGUCGUACCCAGUUAGCGUUUUGCGAGCAGACGCUGCCGGGGGACCGCGUCGCGUCAGUGCCGGUGCUGAGCGUUCCUGGCAGUGCACCUUUCCCUGGCAGUGCAGCGGCGGGCGCUGAGCGGCCGCAGUGCUCACAGGCAGCGGCGCCCGGCGCCGGGGUGGGGAAGGGCAGCAACGGUGGCGAUGUGAGGGAGAGUCUUACGAGCCGACCGCACGUCCCCGUCGUGCGAGCCCAGCAUUCGUUGGCGGCUACCGUUCAGACCGAGCACGGUUCUACAUCGAAAAUGAUCCCGGCUGUGCACCUCGUGCCGGCGGCGGCGUCCGAGUCGGGCGACGCAUCGCUACAGGAUCCGCAAAAGCGAAAAGAAGAGCAUGUGCAGGGUGAAAGGCCGUCCUUCUCUGCGUUCUUGCCACAGGCGACGCGAGGGCUGGAUGAGAGCCGCCAGCAAAGCGCGGCUCCCCAGCCACAGCCGCUUCGCAGUGGCGACGAGGACAGUAGCGAAAGCAAGGCUGGCGCUGAGGAUACCGACUCUUACUCGGUCGAGAUACCGCCACUCGAGGCCUCGGAGCAGGGCGACGCCGACGAUGGGCCCUGUAGCGUUCCCCUGGACGCCACAGUGGAGGAGGGGAGCAAUGUGAACGAGGGUUUCUUUGGCCACCUCGUCAUGGAGGAUGUGUCGAGCGAUAAGCUCGCUGAUCCCACCCCUUACGCGGUAGAUGAUGCACGCGCUACGCGGCUACCCGCCUUCGGCGCCAGAGAUGAUGACAUCGAAGAGGAUGCUUCCCGCUUCAUGAGUUACAACCUCGCGAGACCGACGGACGGUGGCGCAAGCACGCCAAGUCAGGCAGACCGGCCCACUCCUGAGUCGAUACCGGCCGGUUGCUCCUACUACACAUAUUCGUAUUCGUACUCGGACGACGACGACGACGACGAAGAGGCUGAGGAGGCGGGGGGGACUGCUCAAGAAGGUAUCCCCGUUAAGUUGCGCGUAAACGACGGCGGGAAAGAAACGCAGCAAGCAUCUGCCAUCCACGACAGCGCUGCCGCGGGUUUUCCAGAGUCCACUUUUCACGCGGACGUGACCCCUGUGGCGCACGCUGAGUGGGCGCCGACAUCUGGGGAAGUGGCUGCGCAGCGCGAGGACGUCGGUAAGGCAGGCGCAGAAAAACUCAAGAAGUCACGGCAGGGCGUUAAAGGCAAUGCGAGGCUGUCGGCCGCCCAGCAAGGUGCGCCGAGCCCGAAACAGCAACCACCUGCACGAGUAGGCCGCGGUGGGAAACCGGCCAGCGAGGAGCCUUCCAUCGUGGCGCGGCGCCACUCUUCGCAGCCGUCGGACCCUGCACCGCAACAGGUGGUGAAAAAGGGGAAGGGCUUCUUGGCAAAGUUUUUUUCCAAAAAGGGCAAGUGAUUUCGUCACAGCAGACGGCGGCAACGGUGUGCGAUGAAACAAAAGAGAAAGAACUGCGCAGUAGACAUACGAAUGCCAUCGGUGGCACGUACCCCCGCCCUGCCGGUGGGGCGGACGGGGCACUACAUCCUUCUGUCUCUCCCUUCCCCUUCAUGGGUGCCGCAUAGAAGUGCAAGCACACGAAGCGCCAUAGAGAGGGUGCUGUAUUACAUCAUGGCAAUACGGAUGCCACUCUCUGUGCAGGGCUCAGCAACGUUGCCCUCGCAGUGCCACAAAC
Molecule: unclassified non-coding RNA, 4074 nt
Filed under: Leishmania donovani
Lineage: Eukaryota; Euglenozoa; Kinetoplastea; Trypanosomatida; Trypanosomatidae
Description: gene:LdHU3.30.3180(CDS-product:zinc-finger_protei n_conserved)
Source: RNAcentral